This 468-nucleotide ribosomal RNA is filed under the name uncultured bacterium. Its description in RNAcentral is "partial 16S ribosomal RNA". It matches the Rfam family "Bacterial small subunit ribosomal RNA", at positions 28 to 507 of the family's 1533-position model. The record is from RNAcentral.
GACGAACGCUGGCGGCGUGCUUAACACAUGCAAGUAGAACGGAAAGGCCCGGCUUUUGUGGGGUGCUCGAGUGGCGAACGGGUGAGUAACACGUGAGUAACCUGACCUUGACGUUGGGAUAACUUCAGGAAACUGGGGCUAAUACCGGAUAUGAGCUCCUGCUGCAUGGUGGGGGUUGGAAAGUUUCGGCGGGUGGGGAUGGACUCGCGGCUUAUCAGCUUGUUGGUGGGGUAGUGGCUUACCAAGGCUUUGACGGGUAGCCGGCCUGGGAGGGUGACCGGCCACAUUGGGACUGAGGUACGGCCCAGACUCCUACGGGAGGCAGCAGUGGGGAAUAUUGCACAAUGGGCGGAAGACUGAUGCAGCAACGCCGCGUGCGGGAUGACGGCCUUCGGGUUGUAAACCGCUUUCGCCUGUGACGAAGCGUGAGUGACGGUAAUGGGUAAAGAAGCACCGGCUAACUACGUG